RNAcentral lists this transfer RNA (86 nucleotides) under candidate division TA06 bacterium DG_26. RNAcentral's name for it is "tRNA-Leu". It matches the Rfam family "tRNA". Rfam says of the family: Transfer RNA (tRNA) molecules are approximately 80 nucleotides in length. Their secondary structure includes four short double-helical elements and three loops (D, anti-codon, and T loops). Further hydrogen bonds mediate the characteristic L-shaped molecular structure. tRNAs have two regions of fundamental functional importance: the anti-codon, which is responsible for specific mRNA codon recognition, and the 3' end, to which the tRNAs corresponding amino acid is attached (by aminoacyl-tRNA synthetases). tRNAs cope with the degeneracy of the genetic code in two manners: having more than one tRNA (with a specific anti-codon) for a particular amino acid; and 'wobble' base-pairing, i.e. permitting non-standard base-pairing at the 3rd anti-codon position. The record is from RNAcentral.
GCCGGAGUGGCGGAAGUGGUAGACGCUGCGGACUUAAAAUCCGCUGUUCCGCAAGGGACAUGCCGGUUCGAAUCCGGCCUCCGGCA